RNAcentral lists this ribosomal RNA (274 nucleotides) under uncultured prokaryote. RNAcentral describes it as "partial 16S ribosomal RNA". It matches the Rfam family "Bacterial small subunit ribosomal RNA", at positions 524 to 798 of the family's 1533-position model. The record is from RNAcentral.
UACGUAGGGGCAAGCGUUGUCCGGAAUGAUUGGGCGUAAAGGGCGCGUAGGCGGCUGUGUAAGUCAGUAGUGGAAGUCCAGCUUUUAAGGUUGGAAGUGCUAUUGAAACUGUGCAGCUUGAGUGCAGGAGCGGUUAUCGGAAUUCCCGGUGUAGCGGUGAAAUGCGUAGAGAUCGGGAGGAACACCAGUGGCGAAGGCGGGUAACUGGACUGCAACUGACGCUGAGGCGCGAAAGUGUGGGGAGCAAACAGGAUUAGAUACCCCGGUAGUCCCU